RNAcentral lists this long non-coding RNA (1062 nucleotides) under Callithrix jacchus (white-tufted-ear marmoset). Its description in RNAcentral is "lncRNA (ENSCJAG00000075378.1)". The record is from RNAcentral. Lineage: Eukaryota; Metazoa; Chordata; Mammalia; Primates; Cebidae.
GGCAGAAUGAGGCUGGAACCGGAGCUGUCCUGGCACUUUUGCUAGUGGUUUGCCUUUCAGACCCUGGGGGCUCUGACCAAGCUCGCAGCAGACAAAACAACCCGGGGUUGACAGGCUGACUUAGGGAGACAGGUGCCUCGACGUGCCUUCAGUAUGCGGCCUCAGUAGGCUGCAUGGGACCAUCCAGGCCCCGUGGCUGUGCCAUCGGCGUUUUUCAGGCCACAGAAGGUGGCUAUGCCAUGGUACAGGGACGUGCAAAUGGAGACAGCAGCACCGUGACAGUGACUUUCCGUGGGAAUCAACUCCUAGAGGAACCCACGGGUCCUUAACCGAAUGGGCACUGGUCUCACAUGUGCACGUGCUAAAUAGACUUGGGGGUAUUGAUCCUCUAGAGCCAAUAUUGCCUAUGUCAGUCUCCUCUGGCAACACCCUCCCAGGAUGGAAUGUUGGGGUCCCCAGGAUUCCUAGGUUGAAACCCUGACCCCACCAUGUGAAGAUAUUAGGAAGUGAGGCAUUCUGGAAGUAAUCAGGGUUCUAUGAUGUCAUGAGGCUGGAUCAUGGGACCCACAUUCUACAAAGGAGGGAAAGAGAAACCAGAACUCCCUCUCUCUCAGCCAUGCGAGGACGCAGCGAGAAGGUGGCUGUCUUCAGGCCAGGAAGGGAGCCCUCACCAACGACCGAAUCUGCUGUCACCUUGAUUCUGGACUUGCAGUCUCCAGAGCUGUGAGAAGUAGUUGUCUGUUGUCUCAGCCACCCAGACGCUGGGCGUUGCUAUUGCAGCCUGAGGUUUGGGACCCUCUCGCUGGACGAGAUUCCUGGGCUUGCGUUCAGUUCUCAACAAUGCAAUAUCUACCAGCUGAAUAUAUACUAUCCGUGAAGUAUGAAAACUGCGUGUAUGGUAUCUGGAGGAGUUUACAGAAAGAAACCGAGGUGGAAGGUGAGAGUGAAUGCCCUCCCCACGCCAGGGCCCGCUGGGGGCCUCGUUCCAGGCCCCAUUGGCCUGCGUGCAGGGUCUCUGCUCUGGCUGAACUCUUCUGCUGCAGUGGAAAUUCUUGUUUUUGA